GGGUUGUGAGGUUAAGCGACUAAGCGUACACGGUGGAUGCCCUGGCAGUCAGAGGCGAUGAAGGACGUGCUAAUCUGCGAUAAGCGUCGGUAAGGUGAUAUGAACCGUUAUAACCGGCGAUUUCCGAAUGGGGAAACCCAGUGUGAUUCGUCACACUAUCAUUAACUGAAUCCAUAGGUUAAUGAGGCGAACCGGGGGAACUGAAACAUCUAAGUACCCCGAGGAAAAGAAAUCAACCGAGAUUCCCCCAGUAGCGGCGAGCGAACGGGGAGCAGCCCAGAGCCUGAAUCAGUGUGUGUGUUAGUGGAAGCGUCUGGAAAGGCGCGCGAUACAGGGUGACAGCCCCGUACACAAAAAUGCACAUACUGUGAGCUCGAUGAGUAGGGCGGGACACGUGGUAUCCUGUCUGAAUAUGGGGGGACCAUCCUCCAAGGCUAAAUACUCCUGACUGACCGAUAGUGAACCAGUACCGUGAGGGAAAGGCGAAAAGAACCCCGGCGAGGGGAGUGAAAAAGAACCUGAAACCGUGUACGUACAAGCAGUGGGAGCACGCUUAGGCGUGUGACUGCGUACCUUUUGUAUAAUGGGUCAGCGACUUAUAUUCUGUAGCAAGGUUAACCGAAUAGGGGAGCCGAAGGGAAACCGAGUCUUAACUGGGCGUUAAGUUGCAGGGUAUAGACCCGAAACCCGGUGAUCUAGCCAUGGGCAGGUUGAAGGUUGGGUAACACUAACUGGAGGACCGAACCGACUAAUGUUGAAAAAUUAGCGGAUGACUUGUGGCUGGGGGUGAAAGGCCAAUCAAACCGGGAGAUAGCUGGUUCUCCCCGAAAGCUAUUUAGGUAGCGCCUCGUGAAUUCAUCUCCGGGGGUAGAGCACUGUUUCGGCAAGGGGGUCAUCCCGACUUACCAACCCGAUGCAAACUGCGAAUACCGGAGAAUGUUAUCACGGGAGACACACGGCGGGUGCUAACGUCCGUCGUGAAGAGGGAAACAACCCAGACCGCCAGCUAAGGUCCCAAAGUCAUGGUUAAGUGGGAAACGAUGUGGGAAGGCCCAGACAGCCAGGAUGUUGGCUUAGAAGCAGCCAUCAUUUAAAGAAAGCGUAAUAGCUCACUGGUCGAGUCGGCCUGCGCGGAAGAUGUAACGGGGCUAAACCAUGCACCGAAGCUGCGGCAGCGACGCUGAUGCGUUGUUGGGUAGGGGAGCGUUCUGUAAGCCUGCGAAGGUGUGCUGUGAGGCAUGCUGGAGGUAUCAGAAGUGCGAAUGCUGACAUAAGUAACGAUAAAGCGGGUGAAAAGCCCGCUCGCCGGAAGACCAAGGGUUCCUGUCCAACGUUAAUCGGGGCAGGGUGAGUCGACCCCUAAGGCGAGGCCGAAAGGCGUAGUCGAUGGGAAACAGGUUAAUAUUCCUGUACUUGGUGUUACUGCGAAGGGGGGACGGAGAAGGCUAUGUUGGCCGGGCGACGGUUGUCCCGGUUUAAGCGUGUAGGCUGGUUUUCCAGGCAAAUCCGGAAAAUCAAGGCUGAGGCGUGAUGACGAGGCACUACGGUGCUGAAGCAACAAAUGCCCUGCUUCCAGGAAAAGCCUCUAAGCAUCAGGUAACAUCAAAUCGUACCCCAAACCGACACAGGUGGUCAGGUAGAGAAUACCAAGGCGCUUGAGAGAACUCGGGUGAAGGAACUAGGCAAAAUGGUGCCGUAACUUCGGGAGAAGGCACGCUGAUAUGUAGGUGAAGCGACUUGCUCGUGGAGCUGAAAUCAGUCGAAGAUACCAGCUGGCUGCAACUGUUUAUUAAAAACACAGCACUGUGCAAACACGAAAGUGGACGUAUACGGUGUGACGCCUGCCCGGUGCCGGAAGGUUAAUUGAUGGGGUCAGCGCAAGCGAAGCUCUUGAUCGAAGCCCCGGUAAACGGCGGCCGUAACUAUAACGGUCCUAAGGUAGCGAAAUUCCUUGUCGGGUAAGUUCCGACCUGCACGAAUGGCGUAAUGAUGGCCAGGCUGUCUCCACCCGAGACUCAGUGAAAUUGAACUCGCUGUGAAGAUGCAGUGUACCCGCGGCAAGACGGAAAGACCCCGUGAACCUUUACUAUAGCUUGACACUGAACAUUGAGCCUUGAUGUGUAGGAUAGGUGGGAGGCUUUGAAGUGUGGACGCCAGUCUGCAUGGAGCCGACCUUGAAAUACCACCCUU
This 2190-nucleotide ribosomal RNA is filed under the name Escherichia coli. RNAcentral describes it as "partial 23S ribosomal RNA". It matches the Rfam family "Bacterial large subunit ribosomal RNA", at positions 1 to 2207 of the family's 2925-position model. The record is from RNAcentral. Lineage: Bacteria; Pseudomonadati; Pseudomonadota; Gammaproteobacteria; Enterobacterales; Enterobacteriaceae.